GUGGGGAAUAUUGCGCAAUGGGGGCAACCCUGACGCAGCAAUACCGCGUGAGUGAAGAAGGUUUUCGGAUCGUAAAGCUCUGUUAUUGGGGAAGAAAAAAGACGGUACCCAAGAAGAAAGUCCCGGCUAACUACGUGCCAGCAGCCGCGGUAAUACGUAGGGGACAAGCGUUGUCCGGAUUUACUGGGCGUAAAGGGCACGCAGGCGGUUUUUUAAGUCAGAUGUGAAAGGUACCGGCUCAACCGGUGACAUGCAUUUGAAACUGAAAGACUUGAGUAUUGGAGAGGCAAGUGGAAUUCCUAGUGUAGCGGUGAAAUGCGUAGAUAUUAGGGGGAACACCGGUGGCGAAGGCGGCUUGCUGGACAAAUACUGACGCUGAGGUGCGAAAGCGUGGGGAGCAAACAGGAUUAGAAACCCGUGUAGUCC
This 426-nucleotide ribosomal RNA is filed under the name uncultured bacterium. RNAcentral describes it as "partial 16S ribosomal RNA". It matches the Rfam family "Bacterial small subunit ribosomal RNA", at positions 354 to 796 of the family's 1533-position model. The record is from RNAcentral.